This 516-nucleotide long non-coding RNA is filed under the name Erythranthe guttata (spotted monkey flower). RNAcentral's name for it is "long non-coding RNA (EGUT_LNC001891)". Lineage: Eukaryota; Viridiplantae; Streptophyta; Magnoliopsida; Lamiales; Phrymaceae. The record is from RNAcentral.
CACUGUCGAGGUAAAUAAUGAGUUCUUUUUUAUUUAAUUAAUUUGCUCAUCCAGCGUAGUUCUUUUUAUAUUUAAUUAUAGACUUAAGUUUCAAUACAGAACCAGAGACAUAAAAUUUAUUGUUAUUACUUUGUUCUUAUCUUUGACGAUGGUGUAUUCGCUUACUAUCUGAUCUAACAUAUCUUAUUUGAUUUUAGUAGAUUCAUAAUGGAUAAGAGUUGGAUGAGUAAACCAAGAUCAACAAAAGAAUAUGAAAAUGGAUUGAAUCAAUUUCUUGAUAUGGCUUUUGCUAAAGUAAGUCUUAGUGGAAAAAUUAUUUGUCCGUGCAAACGGUGUAGGAAUGGGAAAUGAGUAAUUAGAGACAUUGCCGAAGAACAUUUGUUAGUUGAUGGCUUUAUGAAAGGUUACACAAAUUGGGUCGCACAUGGUGAAGACACAUUGACUGAUCAUGUGGAUUCCCAAAAUUUUAAAGAAUUCAAUAUGUUAGGGGAUAUGACUGGGUUAGUACAUGAUGCG